This 445-nucleotide ribosomal RNA is filed under the name Pseudomonas sp. 'Disko Bay 28'. Its description in RNAcentral is "bacterial SSU rRNA". It matches the Rfam family "Bacterial small subunit ribosomal RNA", at positions 18 to 463 of the family's 1533-position model. Lineage: Bacteria; Pseudomonadati; Pseudomonadota; Gammaproteobacteria; Pseudomonadales; Pseudomonadaceae. The record is from RNAcentral.
CAUGGCUCAGAUUGAACGCUGGCGGCAGGCCUAACACAUGCAAGUCGAGCGGAUGAGAAGAGCUUGCUCUUCGAUUCAGCGGCGGACGGGUGAGUAAUACCUAGGAAUCUGCCUGGUAGUGGGGGACAACGUUUCGAAAGGAACGCUAAUACCGCAUACGUCCUACGGGAGAAAGCAGGGGACCUUCGGGCCUUGCGCUAUCAGAUGAGCCUAGGUCGGAUUAGCUAGUUGGUGAGGUAAUGGCUCACCAAGGCUACGAUCCGUAACUGGUCUGAGAGGAUGAUCAGUCACACUGGAACUGAGACACGGUCCAGACUCCUACGGGAGGCAGCAGUGGGGAAUAUUGGACAAUGGGCGAAAGCCUGAUCCAGCCAUGCCGCGUGUGUGAAGAAGGUCUUCGGAUUGUAAAGCACUUUAAGUUGGGAGGAAGGGCAGUAAGCGAAUA